RNAcentral lists this ribosomal RNA (434 nucleotides) under uncultured bacterium. RNAcentral's name for it is "partial 16S ribosomal RNA". It matches the Rfam family "Bacterial small subunit ribosomal RNA", at positions 29 to 507 of the family's 1533-position model. The record is from RNAcentral.
AGCGAACGCUGGCGGCAGGCCUAACACAUGCAAGUCGAACGAACCCUUCGGGGUUAGUGGCGGACGGGUGAGUAACACGUGGGAACGUGCCUUUAGGUUCGGAAUAACUCAGGGAAACUUGUGCUAAUACCGAAUGUGCCCUUCGGGGGAAAGAUUUAUCGCCUUUAGAGCGGCCCGCGUCUGAUUAGCUAGUUGGUUGAGGUAAUGGCUCACCAAGGCGACGAUCAGUAGCUGGUCUGAGAGGAUGAUCAGCCACAUUGGGACUGAGACACGGCCCAAACUCCUACGGGAGGCAGCAGUGGGGAAUCUUGCGCAAUGGGCGAAAGCCUGACGCAGCCAUGCCGCGUGAAUGAUGAAGGUCUUAGGAUUGUAAAAUUCUUUCACCGGGGACGAUAAUGACGGUACCCGGAGAAGAAGCCCCGGCUAACUUCGUG